GAAUGUGUAGCUCAGCUGGAUAGAGCAAUCCCCUCCUAAGGGAUAGGUCGGCGGUUCGAACCCGCCCACGUUCGCCA
RNAcentral lists this transfer RNA (77 nucleotides) under Gallibacterium anatis. RNAcentral describes it as "tRNA-Arg". It matches the Rfam family "tRNA". From Rfam's summary of the family: Transfer RNA (tRNA) molecules are approximately 80 nucleotides in length. RNAcentral also lists the same sequence under 10 other names. Lineage: Bacteria; Pseudomonadati; Pseudomonadota; Gammaproteobacteria; Pasteurellales; Pasteurellaceae. The record is from RNAcentral.